AUUGAACGCUGGCGGCAUGCUUUACACAUGCAAGUCGAACGGCAGCGGGGGCUUCGGCCCGCCGGCGAGUGGCGAACGGGUGAGUAAUGCAUCGGAACGUGCCCAGUCGUGGGGGGAUAACUACGCGAAAGCGUAGCUAAUACCGCAUACGUCCUGAGGGAGAAAGCGGGGGAUCUUCGGACCUCGCGCGAUUGGAGCGGCCGAUGUCGGAUUAGCUAGUUGGUGAGGUAAAGGCUCACCAAGGCGACGAUCCGUAGCUGGUCUGAGAGGAUGAUCAGCCACACUGGGACUGAGACACGGCCCAGACUCCUACGGGAGGCAGCAGUGGGGAAUUUUGGACAAUGGGGGAAACCCUGAUCCAGCCAUGCCGCGUGAGUGAAGAAGG
This 385-nucleotide ribosomal RNA is filed under the name uncultured bacterium. Its description in RNAcentral is "bacterial SSU rRNA". It matches the Rfam family "Bacterial small subunit ribosomal RNA", at positions 29 to 414 of the family's 1533-position model. The record is from RNAcentral.